GAUGAAGAACGCAGCGAAAUGCGAUAAGUAAUGUGAAUUGCAGAAUUCAGUGAAUCAUCGAAUCUUUGAACGCACAUUGCGCCCGCCAGUAUUCUGGCGGGCAUGCCUGUUCGAGCGUCAUUUCAACCAUCAAGCCCCCGGCUUGUGUUGGGGACCCUGCGGCUGCCCGCAGGCCCUGAAAACCAGUGGCGGGCUCGCUGUCACUCCGAGCGUAGUAGCAUAUAUCUCGCUCAGGGCGUGCUGCGGGUUCCGGCCGUUAAAAGCCUUUUUUUUACCCAAGGUUGACCUCGGAUCAGGUAGGAAGACCCGCUGAACUUAAGCAUAUCAAUAAGCAGAGGA
RNAcentral lists this unclassified non-coding RNA (339 nucleotides) under soil metagenome. Its description in RNAcentral is "partial contains 5.8S ribosomal RNA, internal transcribed spacer 2, and large subunit ribosomal RNA". The stretch from base 1 to 120 matches the Rfam family "5.8S ribosomal RNA", at positions 35 to 154 of the family's 154-position model. The record is from RNAcentral.